AGGGAUUGACUGUCUGGGAGGGUCUACCUGAAGCAGUAGGAUUCCAUUUCUCAUCUGCAUCUGGAGGUCUGGGGAGCUGCAGAAGAGGACGAGUGCACUGGACUACCUUCUGAUGAUUUCCUGGAGAACAACUACAGCAUUCACCUGUUCCAAGACAGUCUGGGAACUUAAAGGUUCUUUAGAGCUAGAUACACAGAAGAUAACAGUCCUAUGGUUUAUCUAUAGUCCAGAGACUCAGAAACAAUGAGGCAAGGUGAGUGAAACUUCCUGCUGAUGACAAUGUACCAUAAAGAGAAAGAAACAAAAAAAGAAGGGAAGGUGACACUAAAAAAUUACAGUCAGAUUUGAAUCAUCUGUGUGAUUGCCUUUCAUAUUUAAAAAGUUUUUAAAGAUUUGUGUGACUAAAAAAGCAAAGGAUAUCCUGAAGAAUACUGAGGAAUUUCCACUUAUUGUAGUUCACAUGGAUACAGAUCCACACAAGAGGAGCAAGAUGUGCAGGCCAGAAGGACAGUGUUGGAUAUCCAGGAAAAGAAAAUAACCCAAAUUGGAUAUCACCAUCUUGCACAACUCAGUGGUCAGUAGAGCCAAAGAAAAGGUAACAAAGAAGACAUCAGGUGUCCGUGGACUCCAGUGCAAAGGAGCAGUGGGGCUCCUAAAAUAGCAAGGUGCAUUUACAUACAACUCCCGCCUCCAAAACUCACCACACAUUUUAGGAGGCCUUUCAGAAGGAUUAGGAAGACACUGAAGAGGAACAUCAAUGUAAACACAUAAAAGUAGCAUUGCUCUUAUACAAAGCAAUGGAAUAGUAGUACAAGAGAUAAAGAGUAAAACUAAAAGUAGUGCGUGUCUGUAGUUAACAACAAAAAAAUGCAAUAGCUAGCUGCACAACAUAUUAUAUAUCAUCAGAAACCCUAAAAAUGUAUGGAGCUAUGUUAAGGGAGACACUUUGCCAGAUCAGUAUGGAAGAUAAAAUCUGACGGUGAAACAUUUGGCUGAACUGUAGGAUAGCAUAAAUAACCAGAGCAAAGAACAAACUGUGCUGGAUGCUUGCAGGAGAUCAUUGGGACUGGUAAGGAAAAGCAGUCACUACUUUUUGUACAGCUUCUGAGGAACUCCAGAAGUUAGUGCAGUGGGGUUAGCAACUCCACAGAAAGAUUUUCCCUGUGAAAUAUACUUUUGCUGUAUGCUCACUGACACCAAGGAGGAAGAAUGUUGGGUGGCAAACUGAGUUCACACAUUAAAACAGCAAUGGCUUAUAUAGAGGAAAAAAGCACUAUUCCAGUAGGAAAAUCAGUCAGAGGAGCCACAUUGGAUGAGGUUUGUUCCAAUCUGAGUGGCAAAAUCUGUCUCACAAAUGCUCAUUUCAACUUUAAAUAUAAUUAUUUUUGUCACAGCCACUCUUGAUUACAAUCAAUGGACAGUCCUGUGAAAAGAUAUUAUGUUGUCCAAUAUCUUCAAGCCAUAAGCCAAUACACCAUGUUAACAUCCUGGUUCUACAUACUAGCUAAAAAGGGUAAAGCAUUAUUUGUCUGAUAACUUAAGCUGCAAUCACCCAAACAGGCAGCUGGACAUGGCCACCUUUAAAUUCAAGUUGUCACUCACAGUUUUUGUAUUACAGUAGACAUUAUUAGAAUAUUGCCUGUAUGAACCACUGGGGAAGUAUCUGCACAUGGCAGCUGGAGUCAGGAACAGAAUGACUGGCAAAGCAGGCAGUGAAACAGUCCUAUUAAUGGACAAAGAGGAUUAAUAAAAGGCUGGAUUUACCCCUUGUUUAUUAUAACAAUCUAUGUUCAUUCCCCUUUUCAUGUGCAUCGGCUGUUUUACCACACACUUUUCCACUGAGCAGCGGAGUAAAUAAAAACUGGUCAUGCUGGCUGACAUUGAUAAAAUCAAGUUCAUAGGCAGAUAUUUCAAACCCUUUAUUAGCAAGGCCAUAAACUACAUAUGCUGUUUGAUUAGGAUAUGAUGAAAAGAAUUUAUUAGCAGAUGUGUAUUCAGCUACACUGUUUUACUGGCAGCUUUAUGAGAUUCUCUCCUAGGCUGACAGGUGCGGCUUGCCAGCUGCCUUGUACAGCAAACAGGGGAUGGAGACCAUGCCAUGUGCAAUGAUUUAAUCAGUUACCAUCAACUGCUGGAAAAUAAACAAGCUUUUGUGCAUUUCUUUCAGUCCCAUGUAUAUUAAUUGAAACCAAAUAUUACAAAUGACACUGAAAGAGAGUAUCACUGAUCAGAGGAAACUUAAAUUUAAUAGGACACAGCCAUGUAAUACAUAAAUAUAAUAAAGCACAGUCAUGUAAUACAUAAAUAUUUGGUUAAAAGAUAGCAGAAUUUUGUUAAACUUGGCAAUGGGAAGUCUUUUGAAGUCUCAUUUGUCAGUUUCCAUUCGUGGGACAGUCAAAUCCAGUCAUUUGGGUCACAGCUGGCAAAAGAAAGAUGAUCCUCUUGGUUUAUUGUUCUGAUACAAAAUUGUCAUUACAAAUUGAAAACACAGGGCAAAUAAAAGAGGGCAAA
This is a non-coding RNA of Taeniopygia guttata (zebra finch), 2511 nucleotides long. The record is from RefSeq and is a predicted model, not a curated record. Lineage: Eukaryota; Metazoa; Chordata; Aves; Passeriformes; Estrildidae.